AUAGACUUAUCCAUCUGGUUUCAUAACUACAGCAAGUAGGUUUACGAAAUGAGCAUAGGACAAAUAAAACUACUGACAGGCAUCACAUGAAACCAUUAUGAAAUCUUAAUAAAUGACAAAUAGAAUCAAAUAAGUGUCAAAGUAGACCCAUAUUUGUACCACAGUAAAUGACACUAAUCAUCACAUGACCUCAGCUGACAAACUGAACUCAACACCACCAGGUUCAACAGAACAACUAAAACCAACCCACAGAACCACAUUUGGACUAACGGUACCUUACCUUAGAACCUCCAUCAUUCUAGUUCUAUAUUUACAACAAAAAG
This is a long non-coding RNA of Sphaeramia orbicularis (orbiculate cardinalfish), 323 nucleotides long. RefSeq lists it as uncharacterized. The record is from RefSeq and is a predicted model, not a curated record. The transcript is spliced from 3 exons. NCBI's taxonomy places the organism in Eukaryota, Metazoa, Chordata, Actinopteri, Kurtiformes, Apogonidae.